GUGUAUAAGGAAACAAGGUGUUGUGUUACAAUAAUGGGUUUACUUAAUAGUUUAAUUGUUGUUAUAGUUGCACUCGUGUUUUUGGUGCAGAAUACACACGGCCAUUGGUGGGGCGGUCCUGGAUGGUACAGACCACGAUUUGGGUUUGGGCCUAGAUUUGGGCCUGGCUUCGGACCUUACUACGGACCCGUGUUCCCGCCACCGCCGCCACCACCGCCGUUCUUCUAUGGCUGAAAAUGAACUGGAUGAAGUAUAAUGACGAUUUUCUAAUUGUUUAUGUAAUUAAAGGACUGUUGAAAUUAA
Molecule: long non-coding RNA, 303 nt
Organism: Spodoptera litura
Lineage: Eukaryota; Metazoa; Arthropoda; Insecta; Lepidoptera; Noctuidae
Source: RefSeq, a predicted model, not a curated record